GCAUAAUCAAUAGUUUUUUAAUUGGAAACUAGAAUGAAUGAUUGAAUGAAAUAUAAACUUUUUUAAUUUUAAGUUUUAAAAAUUAAUUUUUUAGUUAAAAAGCUAAAAUUUUAUUAUAAGACGAGAAGACCCUAUAGAUCUUAAUUUUGAAUGUAGUUAUUUAAAAAUAAAAAAAUUUAAAAUUUUAUUGGGGUGAUAUAAAAAUUGUAAUAACUUUUUUUUAUAAUUAAAUAAUAAUUUUUUAUUUUAAUUAUUUUUAUAAAAAUAAAAAAGAUACCUUAGGGAUAACAGCGUAAUUUUAAUUUUUAGACCAAAUGGAAAUUAAAGAUUGCGACCUCGAUGUUGGAUUAAAAUUUAAAAUUAGGUGUAACCGCUUAAUUUUUGAGUCUGUUCGACUUUAAAAUUUU
This 407-nucleotide ribosomal RNA is filed under the name Austrheithrus glymma. RNAcentral's name for it is "partial 16S ribosomal RNA". The record is from RNAcentral. Lineage: Eukaryota; Metazoa; Arthropoda; Insecta; Trichoptera; Philorheithridae.